Molecule: long non-coding RNA, 1251 nt
Filed under: Oryctolagus cuniculus (rabbit)
Lineage: Eukaryota; Metazoa; Chordata; Mammalia; Lagomorpha; Leporidae
Description: lncRNA (ENSOCUG00000036561.1)
Source: RNAcentral
AUGCAGGCCCCAGCUGCCGUCACCCUGAGCCCAAAUCCAGCCUCCUCCCCUCUGCAGAGCUGGCAUCGGCCUCUGCUGCCACCCGUGCGUGCAGCGGGCCCAGGCCCCGCCCCGUACCCGGUGGGACGCAUUCUGAAUCUCGCGGAUCUCGGCGUCCUCCUGGAAGCCCCUGUGGCCCUGGUAGAAGGAGAAGGCGCGGGCCACGGGGAAGGCCACGGGCACGAACCGCUUCUUCUCCAGGGCGUCAUACGAGUACUUGAUCUUCUGGAACUCGAAGGACAGCACCUCAAGGCCGUCUUCGCCCUGUGGGAGGAGGAGAGGUCAUGGCGGGGGGCGGGGGGCAGGGGUGGGUGGGAGGCCCCCGCGGCCGGGGGGGGGGGCGUCCCUACCUCGUCGCGGUGCAGGGCCACGAGCUCCGUGGAGCCGUUGUUGGGGGUCGGCACCACCUUCACGAAGGUCGCCUUGCGGGGGUCGUACUCCUGCGGGUGCAAAGUGCAGCGGGUGAGGCCUCCAGCGCCCCCCGGGGGAGGCUUUGGGCGCAGCAGCUCUGUGGCCGUGUGCUGGCCCGGCCACUUCCCGGGCGGCCCCUGGGACAAAGGACACUCCCUGGCUGCGCCUCUGGCUCUGAAUCAGGGCUGGGGGCCACGGUCAGCGCCCAGGGCCCCGCUGAAGGCGACGGGAACGCAGGUAGGAUGGAUGGCAGGGAGUACCCGGCACACCCUCCACCCCCGCGGCCAGGCCCGAGACCCCGCCCACCCGGCCUCCUGCCCCCGCUCUGCCGCUGCUCCAGCCAACUGUGUUCUCGCUGACCUCUCUCGCUCUCGUUUCAUUUAUUUGAAAGGCAGAGAGAGAAGAGAGACAGACAGAGCUCUCUAUCCCACUGGUGUGCUCCCCACAACAGCCGGGGCUGGGCCAGCCCAAAGCCAGGAGCCUGGAGCUCCAUCCGGGUCUCCCACGUGGGUGCGGGGGCCCAAGCACUGGGGCCCUCACCUGCCGCUUCCCAGGGUGCACCUCAGCAGGCAGCUGGAACCAGAUGUGAGGUCUGGACACGCGCACUGCGCAGGCACCCCUCGCUGCCUCCUUAGGGCUCAAGGUCUGUCUGGCCCUCAGCCAGCACCUGGGCGUGUCCGUCUCCCUGGCUCCUCAGCCACCCUCGGGACAGGGCUCAAAUGUCACCUUGGGGGGGGGCACGGUUCACCGGAAGUUCCCCGGUGGCGCCAGCACGCAGCUCCUGUUAGCAUCAGCUGCUAA